CAACUUUCAGCAACGGAUCUCUUGGCUCUCGCAUCAAU
RNAcentral lists this ribosomal RNA (38 nucleotides) under uncultured fungus. Its description in RNAcentral is "partial 5.8S ribosomal RNA". Lineage: Eukaryota; Fungi. The record is from RNAcentral.